CACAUAGUUAGCCGGUGCUUCUUCUGUAGGUACCGUCACUUUCGCUUCUUCCCUACUGAAAGCGGUUUACAACCCGAAGGCCUUCAUCCCGCACGCGGCGUCGCUGGGUCAGAGUUUCCUCCAUUGCCCAAUAUUCCCCA
RNAcentral lists this ribosomal RNA (140 nucleotides) under uncultured Actinomycetes bacterium. RNAcentral's name for it is "uncultured actinobacterium partial 16S ribosomal RNA". Lineage: Bacteria; Bacillati; Actinomycetota; Actinomycetes. The record is from RNAcentral.